Molecule: ribosomal RNA, 1180 nt
Filed under: Lactobacillus delbrueckii subsp. bulgaricus
Lineage: Bacteria; Bacillati; Bacillota; Bacilli; Lactobacillales; Lactobacillaceae
Description: partial 23S ribosomal RNA
Rfam family: Bacterial large subunit ribosomal RNA
Source: RNAcentral
AAGUCUUCGGGGAGCCGUAAGUAGGCUUUGAUCCGGAGGUCUCCGAAUGGGGGAACCCAGCAUGUGCAGACAUGCUAUCCUUAAGUGAAUACAUAGCUUAAGGAGGGAACACGCAGUGAACUGAAACAUCUAAGUAGCUGCAGGAAGAGAAAGAAAUAUCGAUUUCCCAAGUAGCGGCGAGCGAACAGGAAAGAGCCCAAACCGUCAGAUUUAUCUGCCGGGGUUGUAGGACUGAGACAUGGCACUUCAGAGGAUAGCAGAAGCGUUUGGGAAAGCGCGCCAGAGAGGGUGAGAGCCCCGUAAGCGAAAUCCAAAGAAGGCCUAUCAGUAUCCUGAGUAGGGCGGGACACGUGAAAUCCCGUUUGAAUCCGCGAGGACCAUCUCGCAAGGCUAAAUACUAACCAGUGACCGAUAGUGAACCAGUACCGUGAGGGAAAGGUGAAAAGAACCCCGGGAGGGGAGUGAAAGAGAACCUGAAACCGUGUGCCUACAAGUAGUCAGAGCCCGUUAACGGGUAAUGGCGUGCCUUUUGUAGAAUGAACCGGCGAGUUGCGUUAGUCAGCAAGGUUAAGUCAGAAAAGACGGAGCCGUAGCGAAAGCGAGUCUGAAUAGGGCGAGCAGUUGGCUGACGCAGACCCGAAACCAAGUGACCUACCCAUGACCAGGUUGAAGGCGCGGUAAAACGCGCUGGAGGACCGAACCCACGUAAGUUGAAAAUUGCGGGGAUGAGUUGUGGGUAGCGGUGAAAUUCCAAACGAACUUGGAGAUAGCUGGUUCUCUCCGAAAUAGCUUUAGGGCUAGCCUCGCAAAGAGGAUGCUGGAGGUAGAGCUCUGUUUGGACUAGGGGCCCGUCAAGGGUUACUGAAUUCAGAUAAACUGCGAAUUCCAGACAUUUAUGUGCGGGAGUCAGACUGCGAGUGAUAAGAUCCGUAGUCGAAAGGGAAACAGCCCAGAUCACCAGUUAAGGUCCCAAAAUUCAUGCUAAGUGGAAAAGGAUGUGGAGUUGCGCAGACAACUAGGACGUUGGCUCAGAAGCAGCCAUCAUUCAAAGAGUGCGUAAUAGCUCACUAGUCGAGUGACGCCGCGCCGAAAAUUUACCGGGGCUAAGCAUGAUACCGAAACUGUGGAUGUGCAUUUAUGCACGUGGUAGGAGAGCGUUCUAGCGGCGGUGAAGCAUGAC